AAACUCCACCCGGAGCAAGGCCAAAUAGGGGUUCACAUGGUACGGCCCGUACUGAACCCGGGUAGGCUGCUUGAGCCAGUGAGCGAUUGCUGGCCUAGAGGAAUGACUGUCCACGACAGAACCCGGCUUACCGGUCAACUCCCUCG
RNAcentral lists this RNase P RNA (146 nucleotides) under Serratia marcescens. RNAcentral's name for it is "partial RNase P RNA component class A". It matches the Rfam family "Bacterial RNase P class A", at positions 208 to 367 of the family's 367-position model. From Rfam's summary of the family: Ribonuclease P (RNase P) is a ubiquitous endoribonuclease, found in archaea, bacteria and eukarya as well as chloroplasts and mitochondria. Its best characterised activity is the generation of mature 5'-ends of tRNAs by cleaving the 5'-leader elements of precursor-tRNAs. Lineage: Bacteria; Pseudomonadati; Pseudomonadota; Gammaproteobacteria; Enterobacterales; Yersiniaceae. The record is from RNAcentral.